This 300-nucleotide unclassified non-coding RNA is filed under the name Hevea brasiliensis (rubber tree). Lineage: Eukaryota; Viridiplantae; Streptophyta; Magnoliopsida; Malpighiales; Euphorbiaceae. The record is from RNAcentral.
GCCAGCCCGAAAGCCAUUUCCAGGACAUAAACAACUGGGCAUCCGGGUCCGCGUCAUAGACAGCGUUCCAGUUCUCUUCCAGCCGGGCAAAAUCCGGCAACGUGUUUAUGACGUCAAUGUGCACGGUGUGACCCUCGCUUAUGAUGCUCAAUGUCUCAGAAUCAGCGCCUCAACUUUCCCAUGCAAAUCUUGUUCAACGCCGUAAAAGCCCUUCCUCAUCGCUCGCGAAACGCGCGUGUCAUGCUGUCGUGGAUCGGCUUCACGAUGUACUGGAAGAAAGUCCGUUCCGAUGUCUUGACG